GACGAACGCUGGCGGCGUGCCUAAUACAUGCAAGUAGAACGCUUAAGGAGGAGCUUGCUUCUCUGGAUGAGUUGCGAACGUGUGAGUAACGCGUAUGUAACCUGCCUUGUAGCUUGGGAUAACUUUUGGAAACGAUAGCUAAUACCGCAUAAUAGUAGAUGUUGCAUGACAUUUGCUUAAAAGUUUCAAUUUCAUCACUACCAGUUGGACCUGCGUUGUUUUUGCUUGUUGGUGUGGUAAAGGCUCACCAAGGCGACGAUACAUAUCCGAACUGAGAGGGUGAUCGGGCAAAAUGGGAAUGAGAAAAGGGACAGAAUAAUAAGGGAGGCAGCAGUAGGGAAACUUGGGCAAUGGACGGAAGACAGACCGAGAAAGGCGGAGUGAGUGAAGAAGGAAUUAGGAUCGGAAAGCACUGUUGUAAGAGAAGAAAGAGAGUGAGAGUGGAAAGAUCACAAAGUGACGGUAUCUUAACAGAAAGGGACGGCUAACUACGUG
RNAcentral lists this ribosomal RNA (495 nucleotides) under uncultured bacterium. RNAcentral describes it as "partial 16S ribosomal RNA". It matches the Rfam family "Bacterial small subunit ribosomal RNA", at positions 28 to 507 of the family's 1533-position model. The record is from RNAcentral.